UAGGGAAUUUUCCACAAUGGACGAAAGUCUGAUGGAGCAACGCCGCGUGAACGAUGAAGGUCUUCGGAUUGUAAAGUUCUGUUGUCAGGGACGAACACGUACCGUUCGAAUAGGGCGGUACCUUGACGGUACCUGACGAGAAAGCCACGGCUAACUACGUGCCAGCAGCCGCGGUAAUACGUAGGUGGCAAGCGUUGUCCGGAUUUAUUGGGCGUAAAGCGCGCGCAGGCGGCUAUGUAAGUCUGGUGUUAAAGCCCGGAGCUCAACUCCGGUUCGCAUCGGAAACUGUGUAGCUUGAGUGCAGAAGAGGAAAGCGGUAUUCCACGUGUAGCGGUGAAAUGCGUAGAGAUGUGGAGGAACACCAGUGGCGAAGGCGGCUUUCUGGUCUGUAACUGACGCUGAGGCGCGAAAGCGUGGGGAGCAAACA
Molecule: ribosomal RNA, 427 nt
Filed under: uncultured bacterium
Lineage: Bacteria
Description: bacterial SSU rRNA
Rfam family: Bacterial small subunit ribosomal RNA
Source: RNAcentral